RNAcentral lists this ribosomal RNA (1442 nucleotides) under Rhinella ceratophrys. RNAcentral's name for it is "partial 16S ribosomal RNA". It matches the Rfam family "Bacterial large subunit ribosomal RNA", at positions 133 to 2610 of the family's 2925-position model. Lineage: Eukaryota; Metazoa; Chordata; Amphibia; Anura; Bufonidae. The record is from RNAcentral.
GCCAAAAAUCUAGCCCAACAAUACAUGAAUUUUACUUAACUAACUAAACCGCAUAAACUAAACCAUUUUAAUUUUCUAGUAAAGGCGAUUGAAAAACUUAUUGGAGCUAUAACAAUAGUACCGCAAGGGAAUAAUGAAAUAUAUAAUGAAAAAUUUUUAAGCAACUUAAAGUAAAGACUACCCCUUGUACCUUUUGCAUCAUGGUUUAGCUAGUCUAACCAAGCAAAACGAAUUUAAGUUUGACCCCCCGAAACUAAGUGAGCUACUUCAGGGCAGCUAUAGAGCACACCCGUCUCUGUUGCAAAAGAGUGGGAUGACCUUCAAGUAGCGGUGACAAACCUAACGAGCUUAGUGAUAGCUGGUUACUCAAGAAAAGGAUAUAAGUCCAACCUGAAUCUAAUAAUAUGUCACAAAAGCAGCUACUUAACUUUUCAGAGUAAUUCAAAUAAGGUACAGCCUAUUUGAAACAGGAUACAACCUAAAUUAUUGGAUAAAACUAAUUAUAUAAAUAACCAAGUAGGCUUAAGAGCAGCCACCUUUAAAAAUAGCGUCAAAGCUUAAUUAUUUUUUUAUCUAAUCCCAACAAUCUUAUCUUAAUCCACUACUAAUAUUGAGUAAUUCUAUAACACUAUAGAAAUUUUUAUGCUAAAACUAGUAACAAGAAGAUAACCUUCUCUUAAAUGUAAGUGUAAAUCAGAAAGGAUCUACCACUGAUAAUUAUCAUCCUUGAACCCAAAAUAGGAACCAACCAAGAAAACUCUAUUAUUACCAAUGUUAAACUUACACAAGAACAUUUAAAGAAAGAUUUAAAGAAAAAGAAGGAAUUCGGCAAACCUUAACCUCGCCUGUUUACCAAAAACAUCGCCUCUUGUCUAUCUUAUAAGAGGUCCAGCCUGCCCAGUGAAUAUAUUCAACGGCCGCGGUAUCCUAACCGUGCAAAGGUAGCGUAAUCACUUGUCCUCCAAAUAAGGACUUGAAUGAACGGCUUCACGAAGGUUAAACUGUCUCCUUUUUCUAAUCAGUUAACCUAAUCUCCCCGUGAAGAAGCGGGGAUACUACUAUAAGACGAGAAGACCCUAUGGAGCUUAAAACUAUACAGCAACUGCUUUACAGAUAAACAUUUCAGAAUAUUCUCCCUAAAUAAGCAACAUGACUGUUAAUUUUUGGUUGGGGUGACCACGGAGAAUAAUAUAACCUCCAUGCUGAAAGAAUUUUAUUCUAAGCCAAGAAUCACUAUCCUAAGCAUCAGUAUACUGGCAUUAAUUGACCCAAUAUAAUUGAACAACGAACCAAGUUACCCUAGGGAUAACAGCGCAAUCCACUUCAAGAGCUCCUAUCGACAAGCGGGUUUACGACCUCGAUGUUGGAUCAGGGUUUCCCAGUGGUGCAGCCGCUACUAAAGGUUCGUUUGUUCAACGAUUAAAACCCUACGUGAUCUGAGU